CCUACGGGUGGCAGCAGUGGGGAAUAUUGGGCAAUGGGGGAAACCCUGACCCAGCAACGCCGCGUGAAGGAAGAAGGCUUCCGGAUUGUAAACUUUUGUUCUUGGUGAAGAAGAAUGACGGUAGCCAAGGAGGAAGCCACGGCUAACUACGUGCCAGCAGCCGCGGUAAUACGUAGGUGGCAAGCGUUGUCCGGAAUUACUGGGUGUAAAGGGAGCGCAGGCGGGAAAUCAAGUUGGAUGUGAAAUGUCGGGGCUUAACUCCGGAACUGCAUCCAAAACUGAUAUUCUUGAGUGAAGUAGAGGUAGGCGGAAUUCCGAGUGUAGCGGUGAAAUGCGUAGAUAUUCGGAGGAACACCAGUGGCGAAGGCGGCCUACUGGGCUUUAACUGACGCUGAGGCUCGAAAGUGUGGGGAGCAAACAGGAUUAGAUACCCGUGUAGUC
This 441-nucleotide ribosomal RNA is filed under the name Salmonella enterica subsp. enterica serovar Montevideo. Its description in RNAcentral is "bacterial SSU rRNA". It matches the Rfam family "Bacterial small subunit ribosomal RNA", at positions 338 to 795 of the family's 1533-position model. The record is from RNAcentral. Lineage: Bacteria; Pseudomonadati; Pseudomonadota; Gammaproteobacteria; Enterobacterales; Enterobacteriaceae.